AAACGCUCCGAAAAACGCUCGUACCAAAGCCAUUCAUUGCCUGCUGACCGAAAAAUGCUAUAUCAAGUAAAUUUUAAUACGGAAGUUUAAAAAGUGAGUGAAACUUUGCACCGGGACUAAGUGCAGACGUAAGGACGGUGGGAUUUGUGGAAACCUGGCAGUGUUUGCGCGGAUUUCGAAGCUUACAAAGUGGAUAACAAACUCUCCCAGGCUUUACAUGUUUGUUUAAACGGUUUUAUCUAAAGCAGUAAAGAAAAGGAAAGUACGAAUGGAAUGAUUUGCACCUCUCGUCAUUCAAGGUUUGGAUUGUUACUGCUGAGAUGUAUAGUUCCUGAUUACUGCACAACUAAAUGAGAACUGGGAACAUCAGAGGUUGAAUCAGACGGGAUGCAUGUGUGAGUGAAUGCGUGUGCAUUUAUCUCUGAGGCUGUGUGUGGGUGAGUGUAUGUGU
This is a long non-coding RNA of Trichomycterus rosablanca, 451 nucleotides long. RefSeq lists it as uncharacterized. The transcript is spliced from 3 exons. Lineage: Eukaryota; Metazoa; Chordata; Actinopteri; Siluriformes; Trichomycteridae. The record is from RefSeq and is a predicted model, not a curated record.